RNAcentral lists this ribosomal RNA (218 nucleotides) under uncultured fungus. Its description in RNAcentral is "partial small subunit ribosomal RNA". The stretch from base 92 to 218 matches the Rfam family "Eukaryotic small subunit ribosomal RNA", at positions 735 to 864 of the family's 1831-position model. The record is from RNAcentral. Lineage: Eukaryota; Fungi.
GGGCGUGGCAGUUCGUCCGCACCUCGCGGUGUGUGUACUGGAUUUCUGCGUCCAUCUUCGGGGAGAACAUAUCUGACAUUAAGUUGUCGGGUAUGGGACCCUCGUCAUUUACUGUGAGCAAAAUAGAGUGUUCAAAGCAGGCUUAGGCCGUUGAAUACAUUAGCAUGGAAUAAUAAAAUAAGACCUCGGUUUAUUUUGUUGGUUUAUAUUCCAAGGUA